This 406-nucleotide ribosomal RNA is filed under the name uncultured bacterium. Its description in RNAcentral is "bacterial SSU rRNA". It matches the Rfam family "Bacterial small subunit ribosomal RNA", at positions 355 to 773 of the family's 1533-position model. The record is from RNAcentral.
UGGGGAAUAUUGGACAAUGGGCGGAAGCCUGAUCCAGCAACGCCGCGUGAGGGAUGACGGCCUUCGGGUUGUAAACCUCUUUCAGUACCGACGAAGCGAGAGUGACGGUAGGUACAGAAGAAGCACCGGCCAACUACGUGCCAGCAGCCGCGGUAAUACGUAGGGUGCGAGCGUUGUCCGGAAUUAUUGGGCGUAAAGGGCUCGUAGGCGGUUUGUCGCGUCGGGAGUGAAAAUCCAGGGCUUAACUCUGGACUGGCUUCCGAUACGGGCAGACUAGAGGUAUGCAGGGGAGAACGGAAUUCCUGGUGUAGCGGUGAAAUGCGCAGAUAUCAGGAGGAACACCGGUGGCGAAGGCGGUUCUCUGGGCAUUACCUGACGCUGAGGAGCGAAAGUGUGGGGAGCGAAC